UACACACCGCCCGUCACACCAUGGGAGUGGGUUUCACCAGAAGCCGGUUGCCUAACCGCAAGGAGGGCGCUGACCACGGUGAGGUUCAUGACUGGGGUG
RNAcentral lists this ribosomal RNA (99 nucleotides) under uncultured bacterium. RNAcentral describes it as "partial 16S ribosomal RNA". It matches the Rfam family "Bacterial small subunit ribosomal RNA", at positions 1384 to 1482 of the family's 1533-position model. The record is from RNAcentral.